RNAcentral lists this ribosomal RNA (766 nucleotides) under Lepraria vouauxii. Its description in RNAcentral is "SSU rRNA". It matches the Rfam family "Bacterial small subunit ribosomal RNA", at positions 369 to 1182 of the family's 1533-position model. Lineage: Eukaryota; Fungi; Ascomycota; Lecanoromycetes; Lecanorales; Stereocaulaceae. The record is from RNAcentral.
UGUAUAGCAAUAGCUGAUUGUAUCAACAAAUGGUUGAUGCAAUAUUGACUAUGUCAAAUAAAAUUCUAGGUAGAAUUAUGAUAAUGACAUUGUCUGCCUAUAUGUCUUGACCAAAUUACGUGCCAGCAGUCGCGGUAAUACGUAGAAGACUAGUGUUAUUCAUCUUUAAUAGGUUUAAAGGGUACCUAGACGGUAAAUCAAGCUUUCACAGGGACUAAUUUACUAGAGUUACUUACGAGGGGGUAUUAAAGUACUGCAGGUGUAGAGAUGAAAUUCUGUCAUACCUCUUUUCAAAAGAAAAAUUAUGGCACAGGUAUAGGUGAAAGCAUCCCUUUAUGUGAUAACUGACGUUGAAGGACGAAGGCUUUGUGUCGCGAACAGGAUUAGAUACCCCAGUAGUCAAAGCAGAAAAUGAUGAAUGUCAUAGAUUAGAUAUAUAGUUUAUUCUAUAAAUGAAAAUGUAAGCAUUCCACCUCAAGAGUAAUUUGGCAACAUUGGAACUGAAAUCAUUAGACCGUUUCUGAAACCAGUAGUGAAGUAUGUUGUUUAAUUUGAUGAUCCGCAAAAAACCUUACCACAAUUUGAAUAUUUGUAUCUAUCUUUUUUUUCGUAAAAAAAUAAAAAGGUAAUACAUUUACAAGCGUUGCACGGCUGUCUUCAGUUAAUGUCGCGAGACUUUGGUUAGUUCCAUUUAAUUAACGUAAACCCUUACUUUAUUUUUAUAUGAAGUAGUUCUCCGCUAUAUUGGAUAUGAUAACAGGGACUA